This 468-nucleotide ribosomal RNA is filed under the name uncultured bacterium. RNAcentral describes it as "partial 16S ribosomal RNA". It matches the Rfam family "Bacterial small subunit ribosomal RNA", at positions 28 to 507 of the family's 1533-position model. The record is from RNAcentral.
GACGAACGCUGGCGGCGUGCUUAACACAUGCAAGUCGAACGGAAAGGCCCUGCUUUUGUGGGGUGCUCGAGUGGCGAACGGGUGAGUAACACGUGAGUAACCUGCCCUUGACUUUGGGAUAACUUCAGGAAACUGGGGCUAAUACCGGAUAGGAGCUCCUGCUGCAUGGUGGGGGUUGGAAAGUUUCGGCGGUUGGGGAUGGACUCGCGGCUUAUCAGCUUGUUGGUGGGGUAGUGGCUUGCCAAGGCUUUGACGGGUAGCCGGCCUGAGAGGGUGACCGGCCACAUUGGGACUGAGAUACGACCCAGACUCCUACGGGAGGCAGCAGUGGGGAAUAUUGCACAAUGGGCGGAAGCCUGAUGCAGCAACGCCGCGUGCGGGAUGACGGCCUUCGGGUUGUAAACCGCUUUCGCCUGUGACGAAGCGUGAGUGACGGUAAUGGGUAAAGAAGCACCGGCUAACUACGUG